GAUGAACGCUAGCUACAGGCUUAACACAUGCAAGUCGAGGGGAAACGACAUUGAAGCUUGCUUCGAUGGUCGUCGACCGGCGCACGGGUGAGUAACGCGUAUCCAACCUGCCUCUGACCAAGGGAUAACCCGUCGAAAGUCGGCCUAAUACCUUAUGCAGUCGUCGGAAGUCAUCUGAUGACGACGAAAGAUUUCAUCGGUGAGAGAUGGGGAUGCGUCUGAUUAGCUUGUUGGCGGGGUAACGGCCCACCAAGGCAACGAUCAGUAGGGGUUCUGAGAGGAAGGUCCCCCACAUUGGAACUGAGACACGGUCCAAACGCCUACGGGAGGCAGCAGUGAGGAAUAUUGGUCAAUGGGCGAGAGCCUGAACCAGCCAAGUAGCGUGCAGGAUGACGGCCCUAUGGGUCGUAAACUGCUUUUAUGCGGGGAUAAAGUGAGGGACGUGUCCUUCAUUGCAGGUACCGCAUGAAUAAGGACCGGCUAAUUCCGUG
Molecule: ribosomal RNA, 491 nt
Filed under: uncultured bacterium
Lineage: Bacteria
Description: partial 16S ribosomal RNA
Rfam family: Bacterial small subunit ribosomal RNA
Source: RNAcentral